GGCGCGAAACCUUUACACUGCACGAGAGUGCGAUAGGGGGACUCCGAGUGCGAGGGCAUAUAGUCCUCGCUUUUCUGAACCGUAAGGUGGUUCAGGAACAAGUGCUGGGCAAGACCGGUGCCAGCCGCCGCGGUAAUACCGGCAGCACGAGUGAUGGCCGAUUUUAUUGGGCCUAAAGCGUCCGUAGCUUGCUGUGUAAGUCCAUUGGGAAAUCCACGCGCUCAACGCGUGGGCGUCCGGUGGAAACUGCACGGCUUGGGGCCGAGAGACUCGACGGGUACGUCCGGGGUAGGAGUGAAAUCCUAUAAUCCUGGACGGACCACCAAUGGGGAAACCACGUCGAGAGACCGGACCCGACAGUGAGGGACGAAAGCCAGGGUCUCGAACCGGA
RNAcentral lists this ribosomal RNA (391 nucleotides) under uncultured Haloarcula sp. RNAcentral describes it as "bacterial SSU rRNA". It matches the Rfam family "Archaeal small subunit ribosomal RNA", at positions 338 to 728 of the family's 1478-position model. The record is from RNAcentral. Lineage: Archaea; Methanobacteriati; Methanobacteriota; Halobacteria; Halobacteriales; Haloarculaceae.